RNAcentral lists this long non-coding RNA (660 nucleotides) under Monodelphis domestica (gray short-tailed opossum). Its description in RNAcentral is "lncRNA (ENSMODG00000035833.2)". Lineage: Eukaryota; Metazoa; Chordata; Mammalia; Didelphimorphia; Didelphidae. The record is from RNAcentral.
AGAAGCUCUAAGAUCAAACUGUUAGAAUGCAAAAGAAAAGAAAUGGUGACAACAUAUAGAUAGGCUUUGCUUGAAUGGAUUUCCUUCUCUCUCCUGAAGUCCUUUUGUCACAUUCAAUGCUGUUGCCUCCUGUAAUACAACUCCCGGAAUGGAAAUGACAUGAUGUCAGAGGUAAUUCCUGCAAAACCAGUUUCAGGUGCCCAAGGUGACCCUUGUAGGACCUGAGAGCUUGAACCACGAUGACAUUGGAGCCUCAUAGGACUUCAGAUGGGAUGAUCCAGCAAGCCAACCCAAAUAGAGCCAAGGUCCUCUUACUAUCUGGCUUGACGGCUCCUGAAACUGCUAGUGUUUCUGCUUUUGUCAACAUCAUCAAGUCCCACCACUGGUGUUUUCAUCCACAUGGACUUCUGAGGCUGGCACUAAAGAAAAAGUACCAGGCUGAAGAGUGUGUGAAACUGAUCACCUCGAUGGGGUAGGGGCCCCAAGGGAUUGGAAUCUUGAGGAGGAGAAGACUCUGACUGGGAGAGGAGUUGGUCUCUCAGUCUUGAGAAGCUGAAGAGAGUAGGUGAGAAAAGACUUUCUCCUGAGAGUUAACCAUUUUUUCUGCUGGUGACUGGAAAUCUUUCCUGCAACUUUUCCCAAUUGAAAAGACUACUGAAG